UGCUGUGGCAAUAAGAACCCGCUCAAGAAAUUUGCCUCUGGAAAAAAUAAAUUGGUAUAAAGAUCCUUCCUAGGGAUCUCACUUUAUUUACAAACUAUCCAAUUCCUAAUGAGGAAUGUCUCAAAGAAAAUGGAGAAGGAAGACCACAUGCAUCUACGGACUCUGAAUGGCCUUGUUUAUAAAGCAUUGACAGAUUUGCUGUGCACAAGUGAAGUGGGCAAAUAGAUCUAUGACCUGAACCUGAAGUUUUCCAAGACUUCCCAGCAUGGCAUGUAUAUUGGAAGACAAGUCUUUCUGCUGAACAGAAGGUGCACACAGAAUCCAUAUUAUAGGAACGCACUGCACAUAUGAGGCAUCUUUUAAUGUCCCAGCAGAUCUUAAGGGAUGUGCCACCUAUAUUGUUUGUGCAAGGCAAAGAAAAUGCAGCUCUAGCAGUGAUAGAUUGGUUACCAGUAAUUGCCAAUUUGGGAACUCCAGAUUAAAAAGAAGACUAUACAAAAUGAGUUCAGGAAAUAUAAGGGUCUGUUUAGAGACUGGGCAGUCAAUCAUGGUCUGAUGCCAUGGAACGUGCCUUGCUCUCAAGUCUAUGUAGAGUCAAUCAGGAGGCACUCAACAAGCAAAUAGUGAAAUGCAAAAGAAAAAAAGGAAGCUUGAGCCCAGUGUGGCUGAAACAAGUACAGAAAGAGUUAGCUGAGUUAAUGAAGCAAAUGAAAAAAAAAAAAGGAAGGAAGAAAGCAAAGCUCUUCAUAGAUGGCGAUAUCUCCCCCAAGAAUUUCCUGUGGGUUAGAAUAAAUGAAUAUAACCCAGACGAUGGUGGUGCUUUUUUUUUUGAGGAGCCCUCACUGGAAUAUGAAUAUGAGCUACAAGAAGCAGAAGAGGGCUUGGAGGCAGAAAGAGAGGGU
Molecule: long non-coding RNA, 902 nt
Filed under: Homo sapiens (human)
Lineage: Eukaryota; Metazoa; Chordata; Mammalia; Primates; Hominidae
Description: non-protein coding lnc-DIAPH2-11:1
Source: RNAcentral